UUGAGUUUGAUCCUGGCUCAGGAUGAACGCUGGCGGCGUGCCUAAUACAUGCAAGUCGAACGAAAAGAGGAGCUUGCUUCUCUUUUAGUGGCGAACGGGUGAGUAAUACAUAAGCAACCUACCGAUUCGACCGGGAUAACAGUUGGAAACGACUGCUAAUACCGGAUAGGUGCGCGGGGGACAUCCCCUGCACAUUAAAGCUGGGACACAGCACGAAUGGAUGGGCUUAUGGCGCAUUAGUUAGUUGGCGGGGUAACGGCCCACCAAGACGAUGAUGCGUAGCCGACCUGAGAGGGUGACCGGCCACACUGGGACUGAGACACGGCCCAGACUCCUACGGGAGGCAGCAGUAGGGAAUUUUCGGCAAUGGGCGCAAGCCUGACCGAGCAACGCCGCGUGAGUGAAGAAGGCCUUCGGGUUGUAAAGCUCUGUUGUAAGGGAAGAAUGGCCAAGAGAGGGAAUGCUCUUGGAGUGACGGUACCUUACCAGAAAGCCACGGCUAACUACGAGCCAGCAGCCGCGGUAAUACGUAGGUGGCAAGCGUUAUCCGGAAUUAUUGGGCGUAAAGGGAGCGUAGGCGGUUUGAUAAGUCUGAGGUGAAAGUUCGGGGCUCAACUCCGAAUUGCCUUAGAAACUGUCAGACUAGAGUGCAGGAGAGGGCAAUGGAAUUCCAUGUGUAGCGGUAAAAUGCGUAGAUAUAUGGAGGAACACCAGUGGCGAAGGCGGUUGCCUGGCCUGUA
Molecule: ribosomal RNA, 740 nt
Filed under: Firmicutes bacterium enrichment culture clone A17
Lineage: Bacteria; Bacillati; Bacillota
Description: bacterial SSU rRNA
Rfam family: Bacterial small subunit ribosomal RNA
Source: RNAcentral